AACCAGUGAUGCAAAAGAUUCUGCCAAAUGACAGGAUAAUGAUUUUAAUCAUAAACCGUUCCAUUUUUUUAAAACUGAGGUU
Molecule: small nucleolar RNA, 82 nt
Organism: Sarcophilus harrisii (Tasmanian devil)
Lineage: Eukaryota; Metazoa; Chordata; Mammalia; Dasyuromorphia; Dasyuridae
Source: Ensembl